AUUGAACGCUGGCGGCAUGCCUUACACAUGCAAGUCGAACGGCAGCACGGGAGCAAUCCUGGUGGCGAGUGGCGAACGGGUGAGUAAAGUAUCGGAACGUGCCCAGUCGUGGGGGAUAACGUAGCGAAAGUUACGCUAAUACCGCAUACGAUCUAUGGAUGAAAGCGGGGGAUCGCAAGACCUCGCGCGAUUGGAGCGGCCGAUAUCAGAUUAGGUAGUUGGGGGGGUAAAGGCUCACCAAGCCGACGAUCUGUAGCUGGUCUGAGAGGACGACCAGCCACACUGGGACUGAGACACGGCCCAGACUCCUACGGGAGGCAGCAGUGGGGAAUUUUGGACAAUGGGCGCAAGCCUGAUCCAGCCAUGCCGCGUGCAGGAUGGAGGCCUUCGGGUUGUAAACUGCUUUUGUACGGAACGAAAAGGUUUGACUUAAUACGUUGGACUCAUGACGGUACCGUAAGAAUAAGCACCGGCUAACUACGUGCCAGCAGCCGCCGUAA
This 500-nucleotide ribosomal RNA is filed under the name uncultured bacterium. RNAcentral's name for it is "partial 16S ribosomal RNA". It matches the Rfam family "Bacterial small subunit ribosomal RNA", at positions 30 to 523 of the family's 1533-position model. The record is from RNAcentral.